AUUGAACGCUGGCGGCAUGCCUUACACAUGCAAGUCGAACGGUGACAGGUUAAGCUGACGAGUGGCGAACGGGUGAGUAAUAUAUCGGAACGUGCCCAAUCGUGGGGGAUAACGCAGCGAAAGUUGUGCUAAUACCGCAUAAGAUCUACGGAUGAAGCGGGGAUCGCAAGACCUCGCGCGAGUGGAGCGGCCGAUAUCAGAUUAGCUAGUUGGUGGGUAAAGCCCACCAAGGCGACGGUCUGUAGCUGGUCUGAGAGGACGACCAGCCACACUGGGACUGAGACACGGCCCAGACUCCUACGGGAGGCAGCAGUGGGGAAUAUUGGACAAUGGGCGCAAGCCUGAUCCAGCCAUGCCGCGUGAGUGAUGAAGGCCUUAGGGUUGUAAAGCUCUUUUAGCAGGGACGAUAAUGACGGUACCUGCAGAAAAGCCCGGCCAACUUCGUGCCAGCAGCCGCGGUAAU
This 463-nucleotide ribosomal RNA is filed under the name uncultured bacterium. RNAcentral describes it as "bacterial SSU rRNA". It matches the Rfam family "Bacterial small subunit ribosomal RNA", at positions 30 to 524 of the family's 1533-position model. The record is from RNAcentral.